RNAcentral lists this long non-coding RNA (1640 nucleotides) under Malus domestica (apple). RNAcentral describes it as "long non-coding RNA (MDOM_LNC000631)". The record is from RNAcentral. Lineage: Eukaryota; Viridiplantae; Streptophyta; Magnoliopsida; Rosales; Rosaceae.
UCAUCAUAUGAUUGGUUUUAGGGCACAUUUCCAACAGUCUGUUGGCUAGAGACUUCGAAUUGAAUCUAUGCAUGGGCCGAAGUGGCGGUUGUUCGGAGGCGGUAUUUGUAUACCCUAUACUGAAGCUUUGUAAGUGAAGCUUUGAAGCUGGAGCUCUGUAAAUAAAGCUUUUGAAGCUAGAGUUUUUGUAAAUGAAGCUUUUGAAGCUGUAGCUCUGUAAUGAAGCUUUCGAAGCUAGAACUUUUGUAAAUGAAGUUUUUAAAGCUGUAGCUCUGUAAAUAAAGCUUUUGAAGCUAGAGCUUUUGUAAAUGAAGCUUUUGAAGCUGAUUGACAUGAGUGAUGCUUAUGAAUGUUUGAUUGACAUGAGUGAUGCUCAUGAAUAUUGACAUGAGUGAUGCUCAUGAAUAUUGACAUGAGUGAUGCUCAUGAAUGUUUAUGUAUGAUUGAUAUGAGUAAUGCUCAUGUAUAAUAUGAAGUAUUGGGCGUACUUUUGAUCACCUGGUUGGUGGUAAUAGCGGCAGGUUGCUGAAUAAUUUUGAAGUACUGGGCGGACUUUUUAUCACCUGGUUGGUGGUAAUAGUGGUAGGUUGCCGAAUAAUUGUGGAGUACUGGGCGUACUUUUUAUCACCUGGUUGGUGAUAAUAGCGGCAGGCUGCUGAAUAAUUUUGGAGUAUUGGACGUACUUUUGAUCACCUGGUUGGUGAUAAUAGCGGCAUGCUGCCGAAUAAUUUUGGAGUACUGGACGUACUUUUGAUCACCUGGUUAGUGAUAAGCAAGUGGGUGUCUAGUCAAACAAGAGAUCACCAUGAGCACGUGGCUCAUCAGUCUAUAAGUUGGUAGACUUCUUUAAUCAGCAACAAUGUUGAUCAGUGGAUCUAGUUACUCAAUAAUUCCUGACAAUAAAUGAUAGUAUAAGUACGACCGUAUAAUGAAUAAAUCAAAUUGACAAAAUUUGUCAAGGCAAAAUAUUGUAUUAUGUGCCUUCUAUGAAUAAAUGAUUUAUUCUGUUGUGUGAUAAAUGAUAUGUUGCAUAAAUCAACAAUAUAUUAGGUAUUGCCUAAAUGUGUGUGUAUAUAUAUAAUCAUGAAUAAAUGAUUUAUUCAGUUGUUUGAUAAAUGACAUGCUACAUAAAUCAACAAUAUAUUAGGUAUUGCCUAAAUGUGUGUGUGUAUAUAUAUAAUUAUGAAUAAAUGAUUUAUUCAGUUGUUUGAUAAAUGACAUGCUGCAUAAAUCAACAAUAUAUUAGGUAUUGCCUAAAUGUGUGUGUAUAUAUAUAUAAUCAUGAAUAAAUGAUGUAUUCAGUUGUUUGAUAAAUCACAUGUUGUAUAAAUCAAUAACUUGGUAGUAAUCAUGUGAUAUCAGAAAUAAUAUUAUUUAAUCAUAAGUCAUUAUGACAUAAAAAUAAUAAAAUUAUUAUUUUAUAAUUAGCCAUCAUGACAAAGAUAAUAAGAUAUUAAAUAAACAAAUGAUAAUUUUAAAUAAAUCAGCCAAAAGAUAUGACGCUUAUCUUUUUCCAUAUGGUCGACAGUUGCAGGUUGUUAAUGUGCGCCUACUUGAGCGUUUUACUUUUUCUUUUCUCUUUUAGCAGAUGGCAGACAUCAACAUAGCCUGUUAUCUUUGGCGGGGUCGGUUAAUAAUGG